CGAAAGCCUGACGGAGCAAUACCGCGUGAGGGAGGAAGGCUCUUGGGUUGUAAACCUCUUUUCUCAGGGAAGAAUGAUGACGGUACCUGAGGAAUCAGCAUCGGCUAACUCCGUGCCAGCAGCCGCGGUAAUACGGAGGAUGCAAGCGUUAUCCGGAAUGAUAGGGCGUAAAGCGUCCGCAGGUGGCAGUGUAAGUCUGCUGUCAAAGAGUCUGGCUCAACCAGAUAAAGGCAGUGGAAACUACACAGCUAGAGUGCGGUAGGGGCAGAGGGAAUUCCUGGUGUAGCGGUGAAAUGCGUAGAGAUCAGGAAGAACAUCGGUGGCGAAAGCGCUCUGCUAGGCCAUAACAGACACUGAGGGACGAAAGCUAGGGGAGCGAAUGGGAUCAGAUACCCCAGUAGUCCUAGCCGUAAACGAUGGAUACUAGGUGUUGCUUGUAUCGACCCGAGCAGUACCGUAGCUAACGCGUUAAGUAUCCCGCCUGGGGAGUACGCAGGCAACUGUGAAACUCAAAGGAAUUGACGGGGGCCCGCACAAGCGGUGGAGUAUGUGGUUUAAUUCGAUGCAACGCGAAGAACCUUACCAGGGCUUGACAUGCCGCGAAUCUCAGGGAAACUUGGGAGUGCCUUCGGGAGCGCGAACACAGGUGGUGCAUGGCUGCCGUCAGCUCGUGUCGUGAGAUGUUGGGUUAAGUCCCGCAACGAGCGCAACCCUCGUUUUUAGUUGCCAUCAUUAAGUUGGGCACUCUAGAGAGACUGCCGGUGACAAACCGGAGGAAGGUGGGGAUGACGUCAAGUCAGCAUGCCCCUUACGU
Molecule: ribosomal RNA, 814 nt
Filed under: Stigonema panniforme CBFS A-026
Lineage: Bacteria; Bacillati; Cyanobacteriota; Cyanophyceae; Nostocales; Stigonemataceae
Description: bacterial SSU rRNA
Rfam family: Bacterial small subunit ribosomal RNA
Source: RNAcentral